Molecule: long non-coding RNA, 120 nt
Organism: Thalassophryne amazonica
Lineage: Eukaryota; Metazoa; Chordata; Actinopteri; Batrachoidiformes; Batrachoididae
Exons: 3
Source: RefSeq, a predicted model, not a curated record
GUAUAUUAUGUAAAAGCUAGAGACAAAUAAACCCUUCUAAAACCGAAAAUAUUGUUUUUGUAACCUGAUAACACCUCUGGAGUUAUUUUCAAGACAUUUUGCGGACACGCCAAAUUAUAU